UAAUAUUAAAGUGUUGUGUUUACGUUUCUUAAAAUUUGAUUGAGGCUAAACAAAAUUAGAAAACGGAACCUAAUUGUGAGGACGACCCCAAUGGUUGAAAAACUUCUUCAGAGUCUAAGCUGAUAUGUUUUGGGAGUUUAACUGGUCUUUAAACUUGAAAAUGACACCACAAAAUGAGAUUUGUCACUAGAUUAGUACUUAUGUUAGAUAGCAAUAUACAUAAAUUUGA
Mytilus trossulus (common blue mussel) is the source of this 229-nucleotide long non-coding RNA. RefSeq lists it as uncharacterized. Lineage: Eukaryota; Metazoa; Mollusca; Bivalvia; Mytilida; Mytilidae. The record is from RefSeq and is a predicted model, not a curated record. The transcript has 2 exons.